AACGAACGCUGGCGGCAGGCCUAACACAUGCAAGUCGAACGCCCCGCAAGGGGAGUGGCAGACGGGUGAGUAACGCGUGGGAACCUACCUUUCGGCGCGGAAUAACUUCGGGAAACCAAAGCUAAUACCGCAUACGCCCUACGGGGGAAAGAUUUAUCGCCGAUAGAUGGGCCCGCGUCGGAUUAGCUAGUUGGUGAGGUAAUGGCUCACCAAGGCUACGAUCCGUAGCUGGUCUGAGAGGAUGAUCAGCCACACUGGGACUGAGACACGGCCCAGACUCCUACGGGAGGCGGCAGUGGGGAAUAUUGGACAGUGGGCGCAAGCCUGAUCCAGCCAUGCCGCGUGAGUGAAGAAGGCCUUAGGGUUGUAAAGCUCUUUUAGUGGGGACGAUAAUGACGGUACCCACAGAAUAAGCCCCGGCUAACUUCGUGCCAGCAGCCGCCGUAA
Molecule: ribosomal RNA, 447 nt
Filed under: uncultured bacterium
Lineage: Bacteria
Description: partial 16S ribosomal RNA
Rfam family: Bacterial small subunit ribosomal RNA
Source: RNAcentral